GAUGAACGCUAGCUACAGGCUUAACACAUGCAAGUCGAGGGGAAACGACAUCGAAAGCUUGCUUUUGAUGGGCGUCGACCGGCGCACGGGUGAGUAACGCGUAUCCAACCUGCCCACCACUUGGGGAUAACCUUGCGAAAGUAAGACUAAUACCCAAUGAUAUCCAUAGAAGACAUCUGAAAUGGAUUAAAGAUUUAUCGGUGAUGGAUGGGGAUGCGUCUGAUUAGCUUGUUGGCGGGGUAACGGCCCACCAAGGCGACGAUCAGUAGGGGUUCUGAGAGGAAGGUCCCCCACAUUGGAACUGAGACACGGUCCAAAACUCCUACGGGAGGCAGCAGUGAGGAAUAUUGGUCAAUGGGCGAGAGCCUGAACCAGCCAAGUAGCGUGCAGGACGACGGCCCUAUGGGUUGUAAACUGCUUUUAUAAGGGAAUAAAGUGGGUCUCGUGAGACUUUUUGCAUGUACCUUAUGAAUAAGGACCGGCUAAUUCCGUG
RNAcentral lists this ribosomal RNA (493 nucleotides) under uncultured bacterium. Its description in RNAcentral is "bacterial SSU rRNA". It matches the Rfam family "Bacterial small subunit ribosomal RNA", at positions 28 to 507 of the family's 1533-position model. The record is from RNAcentral.